Long non-coding RNA from Carassius auratus (goldfish), 3103 nucleotides. The record is from Ensembl. Lineage: Eukaryota; Metazoa; Chordata; Actinopteri; Cypriniformes; Cyprinidae.
GUUUUAGCAAUAGUUUCAUACAGUCCCUAGAUGUAUGGCUUUCAUGUACAAAAGUAAAGAUGUAUAAAUUUAUGCUCAGCUUAAGUCCAUUACUUGUAUGACUGUUAACCUUAGACAGGGUUAUAGGUCUUACCCUGUAUACAGUACAGAACAAGUCUCAGCACAGUGCAGAUGUUGUGUGACAAGCAGUCAAUAGCAACUGUACUUCCUGUUUUUGUAUCCACCCCCUAAUAUUUAAAGAUCAACCUCUCAAGAAACAAAGCAAAUUAAGACAUAUCUGAUGUGAUCAUGGAAAUACUCCAAACAACCCGUCAACAAAUCAGAAAAUAUCUACUGCUGUUUUUACUUUCAGCAUCAGGUGUUAUCUGUCAAGAUUGGAUUCGACCAAGUGACCAGAGGACCAGUGUUUCCAGUACAGAAGGAGAUCCUGUAACACUGGUGUGUUCAUAUGACACAAGCAGCAGCUAUGUUAUCCUUUAUUGGUACAGACAGUUUUCUAAAACACAGCCAGAAUUUGUGCUGGCAAUGGGUGGACGAUCACAGACAUAUGAUGACAUACCAGACCCUGAUAAAUUUGGAUCAACUACAUCCCAGAAAUCCACUUCACUGACCAUUAAAAGUGUAACUCUGUCAGAUUCAGCUCUUUAUUACUGUGCUCUAAGAGUAACAGCCCAGUGUUACAAAGUGCCUGAGAGGCUUUACAAAAACUCACUCAGAAAACUUGCUUUGAACAGUGAGUUAUCAAAUGAAUAUCAGACCACCUUUGUGUCUUCAUAAACCACAAAGUCAAACUGAAGGAUAUGGUAAAACCUGCAGCAAAUAAAUUAACAGCUGCAUGUAGCCUACAGUAAACAACAUCUGAUGUAAAUGGGGUAAUUUUAGUGAUUAAAUAAUUAGUAAGCCCUCUGUAUUAUCAGCAAAGCUCUGCAUGGAUUAUUAGCAUGACAUUAAUAUUACGUAACUUACAUUUUUGUCAUAAUAUUGCCUGUUGUUUUUGCUAUUUUGCUCUGCCAGGUGCCAACUCAAAUAUUUCCAAAUUAAGCCACAAAAGAAUCACUGCAUCUCCCAGCAACACACAGUUAGGGAAGUUUGUGAAUGAUUCAAUAAAGAAAUUUUUCAUUCCUGAAUGAAUCAGCAUUUUAAAUUAAUCAGUUGAAUUAAUAAUUGAAUGACUCACUCAAAGAAAUCAAUACAGCAUUUUGAUGAGGUACUUCAUGAUGGGAUGAGCAAAUCAGACACUAAUUGUAACACCCUUUGCAUUUAUAAGGAGAUUUGUGAAUAAUCACUGUGCACAUUGAAAAUUACCAAACCACACUUUUCAUCUGUCUCACAUUUCUGGCAGGUACAAACACACUAUUACUUUAGCAUCAAUCAAACAGUUAAGCAUUUGUUUGCUUAAACAUACAUUGAUAUUUUUACAGAAAUCACUUUCUGUGCUCAUAUUGCACCAAAGAGAAAAACUGUCAUCAGUACAGAGGGGGAAUCUUUGUUUUUAUGAAUCAAGCAGCUCUCAUGUUUUGCUCUUCUGUGGUUGGCUGAUCACAGGGACAGGCACCUGAGUUUUUGUUACUCAAAGGUGCACGAUCAGAGAAAUGGUUUCAAAGCAUACAGUAGAUCAGGCACGUGCACAGAUAGGGCUCAACCUGUGCAGAACACAUGCCCUUUUUGCCAUUACACUCCGAAGUGCCCUUUUUUUUUGGUGGUGUUUUUUUAAUUUUAUUUUUUAUCAAUGCUAUUGGUCACCCUUUACGUCUGUCUGUCUUUUUACAAAUAUUUCACAAAUGAAAGUUCUUAAAACGAGCUCAUGCAAAUCUUAUUCGAUCCUCAAGCUGUCAGUAAGUUCAUAACUCCGCCCCCUCUAUAUUAAUUGAAUCAACUGAAGUUCCAAAGCAGCCGCACAGUAGACAACAGCUGAGCUGAACAAAGUUUUGCGAAGGGUAUAUAAAUAUCUUGUUGUUAUGUCUAUAAAGGCUUAUAUUUUAUUUAUUUGAGGUCUGACUGACUCACUGCCUGAGACAUGUGGGACAUCACUUGAGAGAGAGGGCUAGCAUUUGCCAUCCAAUACAUAGCCAACACUUAAAUAGCCUGUGCAUACAGUAGCAUUUCAUCUUUUAUAAAAUGCGAUUUGGCCAAAUGCAUUUUACCACAGGAAAAACUGAGCGCUCCGUCUAUAUAGCUACAAAAACUAGUUUGUAACCUGUAGAUGCAGGUGCCGUCGCCGUUUUAAUGACGGACAAAAAAAAUCAAAUUUGCACACAUUCGCUGGUCAAAAACUAUAUAUUGAUAAGUAAUACAACAACAUAUAAUUUGUUUUUACCAUCGGAAAAUCAUAACAGGUGCGCCCCCGCGCUGUUUCGUAGGCCUACUGGAACUUAAGGCUGGUUCACACGGCAGGAUAAUUAGGCCGAUUUUAGCCCGAUUCACCCCUUCCGACAAUCUUAGGAUGCUCCGAUUAUCGUAAAAUAAUCUGAUCAAAUAUUCCUGCCGUGUGUGGUGUGUUAAAACUGCUCUCCUCUGCUCGGAAGAAUGUCGGGACCGCUCCGAUCUCAAAUCGGGGAUAUCCAACAUUUUGGAUUUAUUUGGCCCGAUUUCUUCUCGUGUGUGGUGUCCCCCGAGGACAAACAAUCACCCAGCCUGUGGACUGUGGCGUGUAGCCAAUCAGAAAGCGAGGUGACGAGGCAGUGAUAGUACCGGGAAACAAAUCAAAACAGCCGGCGUAUAUAAUAUAACAAAUAUAACAAAUACAAAUAAAGUCGAUGGGCAUAACUACAUCCAAAACUGCAGUCCACCAGAGUACAUGGAAACGAAUAUAUGAACGUUUAUUUCAACGGUUAUUAAUCUGUGUAGUACGUAACAACAUUUCUAUGAGAUAAAACAACAACUUAUCUCCAUAUUAUGAUAUAGCAAGUAUAGUCCAUGCUCGCGUUGUCUCCACCUCUUUGAACAUCGCCUUUUCUUGUUUUUCUUAUGUUUUUUUUUUGUUAAAAAAAAGCACAAACUAUGGCCACUGCAUCCUCUUCGUCCGCCAUGGUUGUUUACUCUAAAGGCACGUUUGAUCUUGAGAGAUUUUGCGAGAUUUCCCGUCUGACCUGGGAAUGCUCGG